UGAAUCGGAAAUCAAUGAGAUCUCGUCCAAAGGGAGUACCGAUCUGUUGGUCAAGUAGGAAGGAUGCUGCACUCGAAUAAAAAGAAACACAAGAGUACGUCACCUAUUUGUCGUUCUACCAAUGCCGUCUUAUGCCUGGACUAUAUGUAGUUCCUAAUAAAGUGAGGCAACUCCCAGAUGCUGAAUGGAUCUGAACUUUUUGAACGCACGUCCAGCGGAGCACCUCAAAGUCGUCGUCCAAUUGACCUCUCUCUAUUUGUAUUGUUUGAUUAUUUAGAUGUGCACUAUAUUAAGAGUAUAUAUGUUACUA
This 310-nucleotide small RNA is filed under the name Drosophila virilis. RNAcentral's name for it is "GJ25638". The record is from RNAcentral. Lineage: Eukaryota; Metazoa; Arthropoda; Insecta; Diptera; Drosophilidae.